This is a long non-coding RNA of Lepisosteus oculatus (spotted gar), 2977 nucleotides long. RefSeq lists it as uncharacterized. Lineage: Eukaryota; Metazoa; Chordata; Actinopteri; Semionotiformes; Lepisosteidae. The record is from RefSeq and is a predicted model, not a curated record.
AGCAGUUCUAGACUGGGGCGGCUUCUGCGAGCUCCAGAUAUCCGCUUAUCCAUUAGGAGUGAAGGUGGGGAUCGGAGAGAGAGGAGCGAAGCGAGACAGACGGAGGGAGACGGAUAGACUGGACAGACAUAGCGUGCUUCUUUUGAACUCAGCAGCGUUCAUGGAAGAGUUAGAGACCUUCUGAUAACUAAAAGGUGGGAAGUUUCCUGCGGUCUAAAGUCAACCUCCAGCCUCUCCUGCGUUUGUCUUGAACGCCCGGACGGAGAGGGAGUCGGUUGCUAUCUUUGGUUAUCUAGCUGUAUGAGUGUUAUUCAGCCGUCAUAAAGCUAGAUAACCGAAAGUAGAAAUGACUUCCAAACCUGCGCGCCACCCUAAGAAAAUGUAAGCGAUAGACGAAGAAAGUGACCAAGAAUUCACGAAAACGAGAGCUGCUAUAAACCCAGGCAGAAUUUUCAACUGAGACACCGCUUCUGUUAACUCGUCUUCCAAGGAAAAGACGGUCCAGACCUUCCACGAUUACAGUGCCUAUAGAGGACGUCAGGAGACCAAUCACAGCAAUGACAACUUGACUUCAAGGAAAGCGACUGCCAGUUAUUCUCACCAUGUCUCGAUGGAGGAAGAAAAUAAAAGGGCGCAGUUUUAAAAAAAAAGACAACAAAAUACAAAGUCAACCCCGACCCCCCCACCCCCCUCCAUCUACCCUCUCCCAUCCCUGCUCUCCUAACCCCCUUGUCCCCCUGGCUCUGCCCCUCCUGGGAGCCCUCAGUGCCAUCUGUGCCCCCCGAGAAACUGCGAGCCCCUUCCAACCGGUGCCAACAGGGACAAAGAAGCUGCCAGCCGCUGCCGUCCCCCGCCCUGCCAGAUGCCAUUUUGUGUGCCGGAGAACCAUGUGAGUGUGUGUGGGUGUGCUGCGGAAGCCAUCUUGAAAGGAAAUCUUGCUGCUGCUCCUAAAAUGGCUGUGUUGGCACGAGGUUUCACUAAGAGUUUGUGCACCUGGAGAACAGAAUCUUGUUGGAGGCUCUGUACAGAUUCACUGCUUGCUCUCAAAGUGGCUCUUUGCUUCAGUGCAAAAUUAACGUUAUACACAGGCCGACCUCUGCACUAGCACCUCAGAAGAGAGGUGCGUCAGACAGUUCUGAAUACUGUUCCCAGAACAGAGCAUUCUCCUGCAAACAAAAAUGCCUGUGUGAAAACAAGCUUCAAGAGAUUCCAUGAGCUGAAAACCUCUCAGCUAUACAGACUGUCUUUGACAAGGUCCUGCUGUGGACUCCGGAUGUUGAUGCCGAUCUGGGGAAUGAGAGACCCCACUUUGUGUCAUCUACUUCACCAUGUGAUUACCCAGAGUGAGACUGGCACACACCCCAGGACUCCAGAAGAGCAUGUGCAAGCUUGCUGGGUAUAAUUACAUCCAGGCAAUGGACAAGUCUGGGUGAACUUUGCAGUUCAUUGCUUUCCACAGGAUAAAGCCUCAGAAUCAUGGACGUCAAGGCCCACAAAGACAUUAAUGCACUGGGAGACAAUCAAAGAGCAAACCAGAGCCUCAACAUUUUCACAAGUGAGCCGUUGAAAAAUGAUGAUAUGUCCUUCAUCCCAAUAUGUGUGUUAUCGCAGAACAAACAGAUGUAUAGAUAAAAGAAUCAGUGUAUUUUAAAGUCAUGAACUGUAAAAAACAAAACAAACAUUGUUCAGUUCUGUAAGGUCAGCUGGCCAGAUUGGUUUGAGUUGUCAAGAAUUGUCUAUUCUGUUUUUUUUUAAACUUCUUGCUAAAUAAAAUCUUCAAGGACCCCCAAUUCAAGGAUGUGGGAGUAUAGAACAAGCUACCCAGUGUUUUUUUAGGCUUGUUUGAAAAUGACAUCUUUCAGGAAAUGACUGGAUGAGAUUCUCAAAUCUAUUACCCACCAGCUAUAAAAUAGGCUGUGAUGUCAGAAUGGCCUCCUGUUUAAUGUCACCUUUCUCAUGUUCUUAUGAUCCUUUAAUUCCUCCAACAAGGGACUGAGAAUCAGACACACCCCUGAAUUGAGAGACACUAACUCAUUCAUUUUGCAAUAUGAAAGCCAAACAAUAUAUGUCUCAGUUGUUAGUAGUAAUUUUUCAUUAUGAACUUGUAUGCAAUAUAGUUGACAUAUGUGAUGCUAGCAUAGGUAAACAAUCACUCAAUAUACUGAACUGCAUUUGGUCACUAUGUGUAUGUUUGUUCAAUAACUAAAAAGAGCAGUGACAAUCACCAGUGUGAGAAAACGAAUUAAUGAGAGUGUGAGGCAGUAAAAUGUCUCUGUCUUCAGAAUACAGAUGUUUUCAAUGUAACACUCCUCUUUGGAGCUUUGUAGAAAAUUGUGCCUUAAUGAGUGUAGAGUUUACAUGAAUUUUCAAUUGCACCCUUUAGAAUAAUAAUAUGAAUUUAAAUAAACAGAUCUUGAGCACUUCUAAAAUAAUGUAGUGUAAAUUAAUUUUGUACUGUAAUCCUAGGCUUCAUUUAAUUAACUGAAUAGUGACUACAUAUAUGCUUGUGUCUGUAAGAUAUAAACUGGCUGUUAGCAAAACUUGAUGUUGAAAACUGAUAGGAUUGUGCAAUAUCUGAAAGAUCUACUUAAUCCUAGAGAUCUUUUAUAAAAUACAAUCAUGAUUCUCCAUAUAAUGUUUUUAAAUGUCUGUUCAUAAUGGAGCUUGGAAUUUAGAAAGACAUGAGAGAAAUAAUAUGUGAUAAUAAAAUACAGAGUAAAUCAAAUGAUUGUGGGAGAAUAAACUAUUUUCACAUAAUGGGAAAUAAUAUCUUGUUCUUUUCUGUGUUAAAACCCCUGAAUGAAAAGCAUGAAAAGGUGCAGAUACUUUUUAUCAACUAAAAUCUCCACAGAAUGCCCCUAAACGAUUUAUGUUAAAAAAUGAACAAUGUUUUUAUUAUGUUUAAAAGGAACAAGGCCAUGAUGCUGUGAUGUGAAAGACAAACACAUUAUUAAGUGAAUAAAAGAAAAAAAACGCA